Molecule: transfer RNA, 75 nt
Filed under: Lentisphaeria bacterium
Lineage: Bacteria; Pseudomonadati; Lentisphaerota; Lentisphaeria
Description: tRNA-Met
Rfam family: tRNA
About the family: Transfer RNA (tRNA) molecules are approximately 80 nucleotides in length. Their secondary structure includes four short double-helical elements and three loops (D, anti-codon, and T loops).
Source: RNAcentral
AGCCGCGUCAAGUCUGGAUUCAUGGUCAGGCUCAUAACCUGAAGGUCGUUGGUUCAAAUCCAACCCCCGCUACCA